CACGCUGUAAACGAUGAGUGCUAGGUGUUGGGGAGGAAUCCUCGGUGCCGCAGCAAACGCAAUAAGCACUCCACCUGGGGAGUACGACCGCAAGGUUGAAACUCAAAGGAAUUGACGGGGGCCCGCACAAGCGGUGGAGCAUGUGGUUUAAUUCGAAGCAACGCGAAGAACCUUACCAAGGCUUGACAUCCCGCUGAAAUACAUAGAGAUAUGUAUGUUCUUCGGAACAGCGGAGACAGGUGG
Molecule: ribosomal RNA, 243 nt
Filed under: uncultured bacterium
Lineage: Bacteria
Description: partial 16S ribosomal RNA
Rfam family: Bacterial small subunit ribosomal RNA
Source: RNAcentral